CCAGAUUUGAACUCAGGAAGAGGAGUCUUUCAGACUGCAGGCCCAGCACUCUACCCAUUGAACCAACUAAACAUAAUUCCCUAGACUUUAUCAGACUGCCAAAGUUGUUUGUGACAUAUACACAAAAGGGUUAAGAGCCCUGGACUGGUUGAUCUCCAGCUCUAAAUCUGUGCUUCCAUGACCCUGUUCAGCACUGCAAUGGUAAUAUAAAAAGGAAAGCUUUGUGUUACUUUUGAAGAAGAAAAAAUGUUGGUCCUGUAGCCUCCAUGAACCAAAUCUUGAAGGUCAGAGGAAAUGGAAAAGAGAGAGGCAGCAACUCAUAACAGUUGUGGGAUUCUUUUUUCUUUUGGAGUUUCACAGGGAAUGGGUACAGAAGCGCAGGAAACAAAUGACCCAGAGGAGAAGGGGCCACCUUUCAGCCUGCUGCUGGAUGUAUGGAGUUUACUCCCACAUUGAGAAAGAAGUUGGCUGCUUCUUAGGCAGCUUCCAGCCUUCCUAAGGAAGGUCUCAUGUUUACCUUUGCAAGGACAAUUAAGUGGUAGGAAUGUGUAAUAAAGGGCUGGGCUGCCAAAACAAAUAGCAUUCUUAAAAUGUAAUGUAGAAAUGGCCAUUGUUGCUGCUGCUUCUGCAGACUUCGGAAACCACUCUUUAAUGACUUAAUCCCAUUUCUCUGCAGACAGGCCUAUCCUAUAGCAGAGAAGAGACCAUGUGGUCUGAUGGUUAGAGAGAAAGUCUGGAAACCAGAAUAAACCCAACUUUUUACAACAUAGCUGAGCAACUGACUCACGCUGUAACCUGGGGUAAAUCCUUUAACCUCUGGGGACUCUUGUCAAGCCAGCUGGAAAAUUUGCUGGGGACUCAAGCUGGGGAGAACCAACAUAUAAAAUCCUCAGUGGGAAAAAAAAGAAAAGAAAAAUUCUGGGAACCCAGAGCCUAGCCCACAGGGCAGAUACUCUGAGAGAUUCUCCUAACAGACAAUGACUGGACCCAAAGCUGGAAGCUGCCCAUAGGAGGGAGGUGAAAAGCCUAGAAGAGCCUGGAUCAUGGAAGCAUUAGGAAGUCCAGGAUUCUAAGAAGCAUAGGUGAGGAAAGAGUCUUCCAGGCAUGAGGAUGAUGAGUAAGAACAAAGGAAAUUUACGGCAAAUGGAAGCAUGACAGAGACGGCCCAGUACGUCAUUUCACAGCAAUACUGGUGAAGGGAACAAUGUAAAGGCAUCCUAAUUCUCACUGACUGGUAUCAGGAAAAGGAGCUUUGCAGAGAGAGACAAUACAACUGAAUCGAUGGGAGAUGGGAGACCUACCUUUAAUGGAGAGCCCUUUCUCCAAAUGGCUCUGGGCAAACCACUUAACCCCCUCCAGGUUUCAAUUUCCACUUCUGAGAAAUAAGUGGAAAAGUGACAGAUGUGUGACUACAUUCUAGGAGUGUUCCCAUGAUUAACUAGGCACAUAAAAUGAAAAAGGAGGUCUUACUAUGUGUGGUUAAAAAGAAAGACAAUCAGGAAAAGUUUUUCUUUCAUUUUUUUAAUUCUAGCACCUAUCCAUUCUUGACAGAAGAGACGGUUUCAUUCUUGAAUUCAUAUAGAUCAUGCAUUUUUAAAAAGCUAUAGAGUAAGAAAUGGUACAUCAGACAUGUAUACUUAUAAUAGAAAAGAAAAUCACAUACUGGAUAUAACUAACACAUACAUAUUUCUUUUUGCUACCUUUCUACUAUGUAGUCUAUGAAGCAAACCAUAAGGUGGAGAGAGAGAGAGAGAGAGAGAGAGAGAGAGAGAGAGAGAGAGAGAGAGAGAGAGAGAGAGAGAGAAACACAUAAAGACAGACAGAGAGAGAAAAUUCAUUUCUUAAGUAUUUGCUAUAUGAUGCAACUACAAGCAAAAAGAUAGUCCCUGUCCUCCAGGAGCUUACUUUUUAACCAGAGAAGACAACAUCCAAAAGGGAGUUGGAAAGUUGAGGUAAAGAGGAGGAAGGGUACUUAGGUACUUAGGAAUGAGGUCGAAAAGUCUGAAGAGUCAGGAGAUGAGCUUGGAAAGAAUGAGUAUGGAAGGUGUGGGUACUGCCUGAAUGGUGCUCUUGGAUAGGAAGUCACCAACAGAGGAGGGGUGGAGGCAGCUAUGUGCUGGUAAAUGUUUAACUAUUGGCUCUCUAGGGAGGAAAAAGUGAACAUGUGACACAGCUGUAGUUUAAUCUGCAUUAUUUAGUUUUCUCCAUCACUUUCUUAAGUACAGACAUUCAACUGAAGAAGACAUCAAGCCCUACUUUAUAGCAUUGACUGAUUUUUGAGGUGUAGGUGCUCACAUUGAAAACUGAACAAUCAGCUUUCAUGAAUCACUUAGAUCUCAUUGGUUGGCUCUUGUCCUUCAUUCUCAAAGAGGACCAAAAUGACAUCACUCUGUUGGAAUCAAGGUACAGCAUGUCCAACUGUGGCUGAUCAUAUCAACAUGAGCCAGGAAGACUCUACCACAGGUCAGACAUAAAUAGACCAUUUCUAAUGGAGUUGUCUCCAAAUUUGUGCAUCUCACAUUUCUUUUGAGCUACUGCAAUUCUUCUUUGCUCAUAGAGUACAGCACCUUCUUUGGUAUGGGCAUGCCAUGCUAGGUGGUCAUGUGCCAGUGGUUCCCAUGGCUCACAAUUGAUUCCAAAGUUCUUCAGAGAGACCUUGAGAAUAUCUUAUAUUGCUUCUUCUGACUGCCGUGUGGGCACCUGACUUGGGUGAGUUCUCUGUAAACUUUUUUUUAUUAAUUUAUUAUAAUCACUUCCAUAAGCUUUUUAGUUUUAAAUUUUUCUCUCCCUCC
Molecule: non-coding RNA, 2792 nt
Organism: Phascolarctos cinereus (koala)
Lineage: Eukaryota; Metazoa; Chordata; Mammalia; Diprotodontia; Phascolarctidae
Source: RefSeq, a predicted model, not a curated record